AGACUGUCCGACGAUGCGGCGGACGGGAGAGUAAUGCCUAGGAAUCUGCCUAGUGGUGGGGGAUAACGUUCGGAAACGGACGCUAAUACCGCAUACGUCCUACGGGAGAAAGCGGGGGACCUUCGGGCCUCGCGCCAUUAGAUGAGCCUAGGUCGGAUUAGCUAGUUGGUGAGGUAAUGGCUCACCAAGGCGACGAUCCGUAACUGGUCUGAGAGGAUGAUCAGUCACACUGGAACUGAGACACGGUCCAGACUCCUACGGGAGGCAGCAGUGGGGAAUAUUGGACAAUGGGCGAAAGCCUGAUCCAGCCAUGCCGCGUGUGUGAAGAAGGUCUUCGGAUUGUAAAGCACUUUAAGUUGGGAGGAAGGGUAGUAACUUAAUACGUUGCUACUUUGACGUUACCGACAGAAUACGCACCGGCUAACUUCGUGCCAGCAGCCGCGGUAAUACGAAGGGUGCAAGCGUUAAUCGGAAUUACUGGGCGUAAAGCGCGCGUAGGUGGUUCAGUAAGUUGGAAGUGAAAUCCCCGGGCUCAACCUGGGAACUGCUUUCAAAACUGCUGAGCUAGAGUACGGUAGAGGGUGGUGGAAUUUCCUGUGUAGCGGUGAAAUGCGUAGAUAUAGGAAGGUACACCAGUGGCGAAGCGACCACCUGGACUGAUACUGACACUGAGGUGCGAAAGCGUGGGGAGCAAACAGGAUUAGAUACCCUGGUAGUCCACGCCGUAAACGAUGUCAACUAGCCGUUGGGAGUCUUGAACUCUUAGUGGCGCAGCUAACGCAUUAAGUUGACCGCCUGGGGA
Molecule: ribosomal RNA, 802 nt
Filed under: uncultured Pseudomonas sp.
Lineage: Bacteria; Pseudomonadati; Pseudomonadota; Gammaproteobacteria; Pseudomonadales; Pseudomonadaceae
Description: bacterial SSU rRNA
Rfam family: Bacterial small subunit ribosomal RNA
Source: RNAcentral